UGGGGGAAUAUUGCACAAUGGGCGCAAGCCUGAUGCAGCCAUGCCGCGUGUAUGAAGUAAGGCCUUCGGGUUGUAAAGUACUUUCAGCAGUGAGGAAGGUGGGUAUGUUAAUAGCAUAUUCAUUUGACGUUAGCUGCAGAAGAAGCACCGGCUAACUCCGUGCCAGCAGCCGCGGUAAUACGGAGGGUGCGAGCGUUAAUCGGAAUUACUGGGCGUAAAGCGCAUGCAGGUGGUUUGUUAAGUCAGAUGUGAAAGCCCGGGGCUCAACCUCGGAAUUGCAUUUGAAACUGGCAAACUAGAGUACUGUAGAGGGGGUAGAAUUUCAGGUGUAGCGGUGAAAUGCGUAGAGAUCUGAAGGAAUACCGGUGGCGAAGGCGGCCCCCUGGACAGAUACUGACACUCAGAUGCGAAAGCGUGGGGAGCAAACAGGAUUAGAUACCCUGGUAG
This 447-nucleotide ribosomal RNA is filed under the name uncultured bacterium. Its description in RNAcentral is "bacterial SSU rRNA". It matches the Rfam family "Bacterial small subunit ribosomal RNA", at positions 354 to 793 of the family's 1533-position model. The record is from RNAcentral.